AACGAACGCUGGCGGCAGGCUUAACACAUGCAAGUCGAACGCAUCCUUCGGGAUGAGUGGCAGACGGGUGAGUAACACGUGGGAACCUACCCAAAGGUACGGAAUAACACAGGGAAACUUGUGCUAAUACCGUAUGUGCCCUUCGGGGGAAAGAUUUAUCGCCUUUGGAUGGGCCCGCGUCGGAUUAGCUAGUUGGUGGGGUAAUGGCCUACCAAGGCGACGAUCCGUAGCUGGUCUGAGAGGAUGAUCAGCCACACUGGGACUGAGACACGGCCCAGACUCCUACGGGAGGCAGCAGUGGGGAAUAUUGGACAAUGGGCGCAAGCCUGAUCCAGCCAUGCCGCGUGAGUGAUGAAGGCCUUAGGGUUGUAAAGCUUUUUCUAGCUGGGAAGAUAAUGACGGUACCAGCAGAAGAAGCCCCGGCUAACUUCGUGCCAGCAGCCGCGGUAAUACGAAGGGGGCUAGCGUUGUUCGGAAUCACUGGGCGUAAAGCGCACGUAGGCGGA
This 506-nucleotide ribosomal RNA is filed under the name uncultured bacterium. RNAcentral's name for it is "bacterial SSU rRNA". It matches the Rfam family "Bacterial small subunit ribosomal RNA", at positions 28 to 579 of the family's 1533-position model. The record is from RNAcentral.